UUUCAUUCAGCUAGGCAAAAAGGCUUUGAGCAGCCCCACAAUUGCUUUUCUCUCAUUUAUUUGUGCUAGAAUUAAGGUUUAUUUGUUUUCUGUUUUCUUCUUCUUCAGAUUGUUUCUCUGUCUUUAUCCAUUUAACAAACUGUUUCCUCCUGUAUCUCAGAAGGAUGCACCUAUAGGGCCUACAUCUCUGUCUGCAGUCUGCAUACCUUCUUCUUUUGAGUGCUUUUCUCUCAACUCAUUUUGCUGGAGCUCCUAAAUAUCUCUCAAGGAAUAAGAAGAAAGUAGGCAGAAGAAGAUUCCAAAUGCAUGCUUGAUGAUCAUGGAGCUGAGAUCAAAGUGCCUCCAAACCACUGACACAAACUUGGUGAUCAGGAAGUCUGGUACCUGCACACCUCUGAUGGGAGGUCCUGAGUCUACCUGACCUGAGUCCACUUGUCAGCUGGGAGUCCUACAGGUGCUGAACUUGUGGUUAUUCCUUUGGCUCCUGAGAAGACUCUAUCUCCACCAUGUUCAUUAUCCAGUUCCUUGGCUCAUGGCCCACUCAGUCUCUGAGCCAGUUCUGCCUACAAGACAGGUUAACAGUAUGGGCUGAGUUCAGCAGUUUCAUCAGAAAAACAUGAGUGCAGCUUCUUCACCCCACCCCCCUGAAAAGGGAGCCAUAAAUGCUGCAGGGUCAAAGCAAGAAUACAGGAAAGGGACCCUCUGGAUGCUGGCAUAUGGGAGAAGCCACCCCCCUCCAAUUUAUAAUAAAUGAAUGUUGGAGUAAAUCUCUUCAUUAACCGGAUCGAGAGAGGAAUUUACACUCGAAAGUAAUCACUCAUAUCUUCAGCCAUAAAAGCCCCAAAGAGUCCACUUUCUGAACAUUCUCUCUAAUGGGGCAGACCUUUGCUGACCAGCUGAGUGCAAGGGUGACUUCAGCAGGUGGAUUCCAUGAAGUGAGCACUUCAGAGCACACACAGCCACGCUGCCUGCAAGCCUGUGGGUGGCCUUGGCAGGCGAAAGCCCGUCCUUCAAGCAACUGAGGCAGGAGCCCAUUAAAGGUGUUAAUUUUACAUGAUGUGGCACGGAGAGUUUAUAAAUAAAUAACAAAUGAACAUUCCCCACGGCUUCUCUCCUCUGAGUCUAUGUACCUGCUGCAGACCUGGCAACAGUGGGAGACUUUCAGAUGCCAGAUCCGGAAUUGCCCUUCAAAAACCAAGGAAGGAGGUAUUUCUGUCACCAAGACUUGACAACUUCUGAUGCCUUCAUCAUUGGGUCCAGUCCCUUUUGAAAAAUAUCCACUAACCUAUCCUCUGUGGUUGGAUGUGCUCAGUUUAAGAUUAUCAUCCUGAGCUGCAAGAACAAAACACAGAUGUUAGAGUUUCAGAAAAAAAUGUACUGUUGGGGACCAUUAGUAAAAAAUACUGUUUAAAAUAUAUAACAUAUGUAACUAUUAAAUACAUAAAAAUCUCAUGUACCAAGAGGCAAAACAUGAUGAAAGUUGCUGAAUAUUUUAAGUACCUAUAUUGCUGCAUAAAAUGGUUCUGUGCGGUAGAAUUUUCUAUUGCAGGAGAUUUAUGAAUUUUUGUCAAAGUGGUAGAUCAUGCUGAAGUCAGGGGAAAUGCUAGCACACUUUAGGUUGCUUUCUAUUUUUAAUUAAGUUUGAAACUGCAUCUUUGCACUUGUGAGUGUGCAUAUAAAUAUAUGUAAGUGCAGAUGUGAUUAACAAUAAUGCUGAUCUAUGCAGACACUCAAAUUCACUCACAAAGUGACCCCCUCCCACUGCAGAGAAAACUUCUUAAUUGAGGUUGUGUUUGUAUAAUCAUAAUGAACUGGAUUAGAAUGGCAAAAUUUUACUAGUGUGGUUCACCCCCUCAUUCUAACAGCCUAAGAAAAAAAGAAUGGAACAAGCCCUUUAGGGUCAUGACCUGAAUUCCCACCCGAGAUGAGCUGUGAUGAUGGUGCUCCUCAUGUUUACCUGUGUCAAUAAAGAUGGAGAGAGACGAAGCUCAUGUCGUUGACAAAAGUCUAUCUACUACUUCUCCCAAGGGAUUAAGAUAGGGAAAGCUCAAUAGCACCCUUGAGAAUUAACUGGCAUCCAAGUUACUCAGAAUCCAAAAUACUAAGCAAGUAUUAACAAAAUGAUAACCAAGAGCAAAUAAUCAGGUCAGAUGCACAGAGUGAAAGUCCAAGGUGAAGAAAAACAAAGCAAAAAAGAAACAGCUAAGAUGCAAGAGGGAACACUCCCUGAACACAACUUGAGUCCAUUCCUAAGCUGCCACCACCCAUCCACGUCUGUUUUGAUCAACAUUUCCUAAAGGUUUCAUCACACCACAAGUUCACACCACGUAACACAGCAUGUAAUUAUAUACUCUUCUGUCCUGUUCUUGCUUAAUGUGUGUUCUCUUUCAUCCCAACUGGAUUUCAAUCCCACUGGAGGUCAGUAACUAUGUCUCAUGUACCUGUGUUUUCCCCAGGGUCUAGCACAGCUUUAUGCACAUUAAAAGUUUCAGUAAUUAUUCUUUGGUUGAGUCAGUAUCGAAUUAUGUUUAGGCUUCUAGAAAGCUCUAUCCGUUUUUCGUCCAUCAUAUUGUAUUUGCUUUCCUUUUCCAAUAUUCUUACAAAGCAUAUAUAUGUAUGCUCUAAAAUACAUGAGUGUAUGCUAUUUACUGCACACUUGAUUCUCUAACUUUUUAUGUGACAAUAUAUACAGAUUGAACCCAUUUUUUCUAAUAGUACAUAAAAUCCCACUGUGCAAGCCUACCACAAUUAUUGAGUCAUACCCAUAUUCAUAGGCAUCUGGAAUGCUAACAUUUACCACAGUGUAAUAACCAAUAUUACACAAAAUAAAAAUUUCUAUUUCCUUUUGUA
Molecule: non-coding RNA, 2850 nt
Organism: Ictidomys tridecemlineatus (thirteen-lined ground squirrel)
Lineage: Eukaryota; Metazoa; Chordata; Mammalia; Rodentia; Sciuridae
Source: RefSeq, a predicted model, not a curated record